UCCACACACACACGCACACCCAAAUAUAUGUUUGUAAUAGCUCGAACGUCGCCAUGCCGGCAGUCGACAGCUGUUUCGGCCUUAUUGGGCCAUCGUCAGCAGUACGCAGGCAGGCAGCGUUUGAACGUGUGGCAUCAGAACGUCACGUGACACCUUAUUCCUCCCGCCAGCCGAUGUUACGCCACUGAAUAAAGACGCCAAUAUACUCCGACGUUCUCUGCGCGCCGGCAGAAGUCCACUACGCCAAGUUAGCUGAACGACGCCAGGCCAGGAACACGACACGCUACACUCCCACGCGAAGCAUCAUGAAACGGUACGCCCGCGCAUGCGUCGUGUAUGGAUCAACAUACGCGGCAGCUGUGGGCGAGGCGACGAAGUUGUCAGACGCGCGCCAUAUCCAAACGUUGGUUUUGUGCGGGAUGGCAUGCGAUGGAGUCGGCAUUAUUUUUCCGAAUUUGACAGGCGACAGAGCAGCCUGGACCACCCAUCCUCUACGGCAAAAUCUCCUGCGAGCGUUGCUGAUUCAUCGUCUGCGGCGCAAGCGGAAGCGUACGAUGUACAUCCGGGAUUUAUUUGACAAACGCACUGUUGUCAGGAAUUAAAACCACCACCCCGUGCAGGAACAACGAAAUGACGACCCUGAGUACCAUUUCAAAUAUUUCAGAAUGACUAAAGCAUCAUUUGACCAUUUGCUUGGUGUUGUACGCGACCGGAUUCUCCAUGCACCUACACAUAGGAGGCCCGUCCUCCCUGCAGAGAGGCUUGCAGUAGCACUGAGGUUUUUGUCGACCGGAGCGUCAAUGCAGGACAUUGCUAUGAGCUACCGAAUGCACCGAUCAACUGUCUCUAUGAUCCUGAAGGAGACCUUGCCUGCAAUAUGGGACUGCUUAUCACCAGUCGUACUGAAGGUUGUGGAAACCCGCGUUUCCACAACCUCGGGGCGUCAGCCCGUCCGUUCCGUGCGCGAGGAAGCAAGCAGCACAACCAGAAAUUCAAACCAACAUACCAUACCGGCUUUAUUCGCUAGCAACAGCUUCAAUUCCCAGCGGGGAACAACAGAGCCUCCGAAGAGGCAUGUGGCCUCUUAUGUAGCUUAACGCCACGCCCUCCCAGUGAUUGCGGCCCCCUGGCGGCUUUCGUGGUGGCUCACCCGAUAAGAUAGGGGAGCGUGGCACGCCACAUGGUACCCACGAGAGCUGCGUGGGAAGACAUACGAAAUGGCUUUGACACAAAGCGGAACUUCCCAAAUGCCAUCGGAAGCAUAGACGGCAAACAUUUUGCCAUAAGAUGGCCCGACAAAAGCGGCUCAGACUAUUAUAACUAUAAGGGAUUCCACUCAGUGGUCCUGCUCGCUGUUGCAGAUGCAGACUACAGGUUUAUUCUGGUGGAUAUCGGGCCACAAGGCCGCCUCUCAGAUGGUUCUGUGUUCAGAGACAGUGCAAUAGGGAAAAGCUUUGAGCAAAGCACUCUUGACCUGCCAGCGAACAUGUCCAGGUGGCCUUUGUGCCUGGUUGGAGACGCUGCAUUUCCCCUGCGCCCAUACCUGAUGCGUCCUUACCCUGAAAGGAACCUGACAGAGAAGAAGAAAGUGUUCAAUUACCGUCGAUCAAGAGCUCGACGUUGCGUGGAAAACGCAUUUGGGAUUCUUGCAUCCAGGUGGCGUUCAUUUCUUGGAACUGUUGAAGGUGAUCCGGACUUGCUGACAAGCAUGAUCAAGGCAGCAGUGUGCCUUCACAAUUUCCUUAUGUCAGAUAGUGUGUACUGUCCAAGCGACUAUGGUGACACAGUGUGCGGUGAGGCACUGCAAGAAGGGUCCUGGAGACAAGUUAUAACAGAAACUGUCAGUCACAACCGAUCAACGUGUAACCGCUCUGCACCAGCAGCCAUGGCGUUGAGGGAUAACAUCGCUAACUAUUUCGUGUCUACAGAGGGCUCCCUGCCAUGGCAGCUCAAGUUUGUAAGGCGAAGCUGAAACAAAAGUGAACUUUGUGAAGUGUAACGAACUGAAAACUGACUUACACAUGUAUUUUGAGCUCUGCACUCUAUUAAACUACAAUUAAAGAGUUCUCACACAAGCAAGUGUUAUAUUUGCUCGUAUACAAAUCUAACAAUACAUAAUAACCAUUAAUGAUGGGAGUGAAGUGAGACAGCAAAAUGGCAAACUGGAUAAUGACGUACAUGUCCUCUUUCUGUGUAUCGAGGUGCUGACAAAACAACAAAGCACAUAAUCACAGCUCAUUCGUCGUAUUCAGCAAUGAGCGCCGUAAUCUUUGCCUUGCACUGAGAGGCUUGACUUGUUGUUAGCCUGUCGAGUGACAUCCCAACAGAGAGUCCAAAUGCUUCAUUCUCAGAAAUUUUUUGUCUAGGCGGCACAGCACACUGUAAAAAAUUGCUGUAAAUUUUACGGUCAAAAUCUAUUUUUUGCCGUACAGGUAUGCUACCGUAAUUGGAAAUACGGUCCAAGUAGUGUAAUUAAUACGGCACUUCUCGUGUUUUUGUCUCUGUAUUUUUUCGUUCAUUCUCGUGUUUUAGAUCGUUUACACCACGGGUGUUCUCGAACUAGCGUAGAACUAAGAGAUUCGCCGGCUUCCGGGCGCAAUGAGUACUACUCAUUGCACCCGAAAGCCGGCGAAUCUCUAAGUUGAAAUGUCCAACUACUCCACAACAGAAAUGUUGAGAGAUUUGCGUGCUUUCUGGGGCCACGACUGCUCAAAUUGAGUGACUGUCCAGGCACACUCUAAUUACAUGUUGCAAUUGAAUGCAUAUUUACUUGUGGCUUUUCAACUUUCCAGAAACCUUGAACUGCUUGGGCUUAAAGGAAAAUGUCGCUCCAUCGUGUGCUAUUAAGAACAUCUCACAUACUUCGUUGAAUGAUUCCAGAUGACCACGAGGUAGUCAAGCAAGGGACCCAUCAGCCAUGACAUAUUAUCUAUUCUAUGUAACUCUGUAGUUCCUCUACUGCUAUAGUUUAAUUACAUUAUAGUUACGCUACAUGUACAUUAGAAUAUGUGCAAUGUUUGAUUACAAAUAAAAUGUAAUUUUGCAUUGCAGUUCUUUGGAUCUGCCGUUGCUGGGAACAGCGAUCCUGCAAAGUGGCACUGGUUGCCUACCAGCUAGCCUCUGUCCGAGCAGGCCACUUCACCGUUACUUGAAGCUGCUGCCGGCUAAAAGAAACUGAGCAAGCUCCGUGCACAUAUGCCCACUGAUGUAGCCUGGAGAGAUGGUCACUUCUGGGCACACCAUCCUUCCUGGGCAAGUCGUGUGGAAAGGCAUCCAAGACACGCUUGGCCUUGGAUCACUUUCUGCAAGAAGACUCAGGAGGGGGCAUCUCUUUUGCAUGGUUUCUCGUGACACUGAGAGUAUACUGUGCAUCAGCCCUGCAGGGGCAGCAAGCUGAAGAACAGACCCAGAACCUAUGAAGAAGUUCUGGGGAUUGUUUCGAAAACAGCACAAGUGUAAGGGAA
Molecule: long non-coding RNA, 3464 nt
Organism: Ornithodoros turicata
Lineage: Eukaryota; Metazoa; Arthropoda; Arachnida; Ixodida; Argasidae
Exons: 6
Source: RefSeq, a predicted model, not a curated record